This 465-nucleotide ribosomal RNA is filed under the name Vreelandella stevensii. Its description in RNAcentral is "partial 16S ribosomal RNA". It matches the Rfam family "Bacterial small subunit ribosomal RNA", at positions 338 to 795 of the family's 1533-position model. The record is from RNAcentral. Lineage: Bacteria; Pseudomonadati; Pseudomonadota; Gammaproteobacteria; Oceanospirillales; Halomonadaceae.
CCUACGGGGGGCAGCAGUGGGGAAUAUUGGACAAUGGGGGGAACCCUGAUCCAGCCAUGCCGCGUGUGUGAAGAAGGCCCUCGGGUUGUAAAGCACUUUCAGUGAGGAAGAACGCCUGGUGGUGAAUACCCAGCAGGAAAGACAUCACUCACAGAAGAAGCACCGGCUAACUCCGUGCCAGCAGCCGCGGUAAUACGGAGGGUGCGAGCGUUAAUCGGAAUUACUGGGCGUAAAGCGCGCGUAGGUGGCUUGAUAAGCCGGUUGUGAAAGCCCCGGGCUCAACCUGGGAACGGCAUCCGGAACUGUCAAGCUAGAGUGCAGGCGAGGAAGGUAGAAUUCCCGGUGUAGCGGUGAAAUGCGUAGAGAUCGGGAGGAAUACCAGUGGCGAAGGCGGCCUUCUGGACUGACACUGACACUGAGGUGCGAAAGCGUGGGUAGCGAACAGGAUUAGAUACCCGGGUAGUC